AUACGUAGGUGACAAGCGUUAUCCGGAUUUACUGGGCGUAAAGGGCGUGUAGGCGGUCUUGCAAGUCAGAAGUGAAAUUCCUGAGCUCAACUCGGGCGCUGCUUCUGAAACUGCAGGACUUGAGUGCUGGAGGGGAUAGCGGAAUUCCUAGUGGAGCGGUAAAAUGCGCAGAUAUUAGGAAGAACACCGGUGGCGAAGGCGGCUAUCUGGACAUUAACUGCCGCGGAGGCGCGAAAGCGUGUGGAGCAAACAGGAUGGGAUCCCCUGGUGGUCCACGCCGUAAACGAUGAAUACUAGGUGUAGGGGGUAUCGACUCCCUCUGUGCCGCAGUUAACACAAUAAGUAUUCCGCCUGGGGAGUACGGCCGCAAGGUUGAAACUCAAAGGAAUUGACGGG
This 396-nucleotide ribosomal RNA is filed under the name uncultured bacterium. RNAcentral describes it as "partial 16S ribosomal RNA". It matches the Rfam family "Bacterial small subunit ribosomal RNA", at positions 523 to 917 of the family's 1533-position model. The record is from RNAcentral.